UACGGAAGGUCCGGGCGUUAUCCGGAUUUAUUGGGUUUAAAGGGAGCGUAGGCUGGAGAUUAAGCGUGUUGUGAAAUGUAGACGCUCAACGUCUGCACUGCAGCGCGAACUGGUUUCCUUGAGUACGCACAAAGUGGGCGGAAUUCGUGGUGUAGCGGUGAAAUGCUUAGAUAUCACGAAGAACUCCGAUUGCGAAGGCAGCUCACUGGAGCGCAACUGACGCUGAAGCUCGAAAGUGCGGGUAUCGAACAGG
This 253-nucleotide ribosomal RNA is filed under the name Segatella copri DSM 18205. RNAcentral describes it as "Prevotella copri DSM 18205 partial 16S ribosomal RNA". It matches the Rfam family "Bacterial small subunit ribosomal RNA", at positions 524 to 776 of the family's 1533-position model. The record is from RNAcentral. Lineage: Bacteria; Pseudomonadati; Bacteroidota; Bacteroidia; Bacteroidales; Prevotellaceae.